RNAcentral lists this ribosomal RNA (373 nucleotides) under uncultured bacterium. RNAcentral describes it as "bacterial SSU rRNA". It matches the Rfam family "Bacterial small subunit ribosomal RNA", at positions 527 to 896 of the family's 1533-position model. The record is from RNAcentral.
GUAGGGUGCGAGCGUUAAUCGGAAUUACUGGGCGUAAAGGGUGCGCAGGCGGUUUUGUAAGCCAGAUGUGAAAUCCCCGGGCUCAACCUGGGAAUGGCAUUUGGGACUGCAAGGCUAGAGUGUGGCAGAGGAGACUGGAAUUCCUGGUGUAGCAGUGAAAUGCGUAGAUAUCAGGAGGAAUACCGAUGGCGAAGGCAGGUCUCUGGGCUGACACUGACGCUCAUGCACGAAAGCGUGGGGAGCAAACAGGAUUAGAUACCCUGGUAGUCCACGCUGUAAACGUUGGGCACUAGGUGUGGCGACCCGAUCAACGGUUGCCGUGCCGAAGCUAACGCAUUAAGUGCCCCGCCUGGGGAGUACGGCCGCAAGGCUA